This 72-nucleotide transfer RNA is filed under the name Pelodiscus sinensis (Chinese soft-shelled turtle). It matches the Rfam family "tRNA". Rfam says of the family: Transfer RNA (tRNA) molecules are approximately 80 nucleotides in length. Their secondary structure includes four short double-helical elements and three loops (D, anti-codon, and T loops). Further hydrogen bonds mediate the characteristic L-shaped molecular structure. tRNAs have two regions of fundamental functional importance: the anti-codon, which is responsible for specific mRNA codon recognition, and the 3' end, to which the tRNAs corresponding amino acid is attached (by aminoacyl-tRNA synthetases). tRNAs cope with the degeneracy of the genetic code in two manners: having more than one tRNA (with a specific anti-codon) for a particular amino acid; and 'wobble' base-pairing, i.e. permitting non-standard base-pairing at the 3rd anti-codon position. Lineage: Eukaryota; Metazoa; Chordata; Testudines; Trionychidae. The record is from Rfam by way of RNAcentral.
GGUCCUGUGGUAUAAGGGGCAGUACUCAGGACUCUGAAUCCUGCAAUCUGAGGUCAAAUCUCAGGGGGACCU